UUCCCUUUGAAAUCCGUGAUAAUUUGCAAGCCCUGCCACAUCCGAUGAGCGCCACAGUCGGCGUAGUAGUAUUCAAUGUUAGUCCUGUAUUGGCGUUGUGACUCUUUGAUGGCUCGUCGGAGGUCGUAGCGGGAUUCUUAUGAGCAUCCGGAAUAGUGUCCCGCUCUUUGAAAUCGACAGCUUUUGCCUUUAGCUCAGUGCUGAUGUUGCCUGUAAUCCAUGGCUUCUGGUUGGGAUAUUGUGACGACCCUCCCACUCGGUCUGCCAAAUUCUUUCUCUCUGCUCUUGUUUUCCUUAAUAGGAUGUCGGUGGGCGGAGCUGGGAGGGUUGUCAGCGGAAUGGGACACACCUGGGCUUGGGUGUGUCCCGGGGAUAAACACACCUUUCCCCCAUACAUCAAGGAGACUCUCUCCAUGCAGAUACACUGUUGUUUUUGGUUGCGCACCAGCUGUUGUUAACAAAGAGACACACACCUCCCCCGUUAACCUUACCCAAAGCUGCCAUUCGGUAUUGACAAUGCAUAGAAAAACCAUCUAGAAGUAAAUAUUAUCCAUAUCCUUGUUCAGCCACGACUCUGAGAAAUAUAGAAUAUUACAGUUCGUCAGGUCCCAUUGAUAGGAUAGUCAAGAACGAAGCUUGUCCAGUUUGUUCUCUAGUGAUUGUACGUUUGCAAAUAGAACGGAGGGUAGAGGGUGUUUAUUUACUCGCCAACGAAGUCUUGUCAGGCAGCCCUCUUGUUUGCCUCUCAUGCACCGUCUCUUCCUCUUUCAAGUCCCGGGAUUAGGGCCUGGUCUGGAAUAAGCAGUACAUCCACAGCUGCCGACUCGCUGAAGUAGAAGUCUUCAUCCAAAUUGAGGAAUUCCUGAUGGUCCGGUGCAGCUGAUCUUUAUCUCUCCUGAAAGCCUGUUCAUUGACCAGUGGUGGUCCUGGCUGACGACCAUUAAGCACAGGAUAUGCCUCCUGGCCAUGGACAAUGUGCACUGCAUGACAUUCAGAGUAAAAAAUAAAUAAACGUAUUGAUGUCACUUGUCUCUUGCAAGCAUAUAAUGCAACUCAAGUACAUGCAGUAACUAUAAACACAACACAUUCUUUGACACCAUAAUUCCCAUCCCUGCAGAGAACGAUACCUAAGCAUGUGACAUCUUUCAAUAACAUACCAUUCUUUAUUGCUGUCUUUAAUGCAAUGAGUUUCACCAAAGUAACUCUGGUUUCAGAUAAACGGUAAUACUGUAUGUACGCACACAAACAUAAAAAGGAGAGCCCAACAGCUAAAUCAUACAUCAC
This 1284-nucleotide long non-coding RNA is filed under the name Salmo salar (Atlantic salmon). RNAcentral describes it as "lncRNA (ENSSSAG00000119535.1, ENSSSAG00020074572.1, ENSSSAG00075039292.1)". The record is from RNAcentral. Lineage: Eukaryota; Metazoa; Chordata; Actinopteri; Salmoniformes; Salmonidae.